AUACGGAGGAUCCGAGCGUUAUCCGGAUUUAUUGGGUUUAAAGGGUGCGCAGGCGGGAGAUUAAGUCGGCGGUGAAAUUUUGCAGCUCAACUGUAAAAGUGCCUUCGAAACUGGUUUUCUUGAGUAUGGAUGAAGUAGGCGGAAUUUGUGGUGUAGCGGUGAAAUGCAUAGAUAUCACGAGGAACUCCGAUUGCGCAGGCAGCUUACUAAGCCAUAACUGACGCUCAUGCACGAAGGCGUGGGGAUCAAACAGGAUUAGAUACCCUGGUAGUCCACGCAGUAAACGAUGAUUACUCGCUGUUUGCGAUACAAUGUAAGCGGCUAAGCGAAAGCAUUAAGUAAUCCACCUGGGGAGUACGUUCGCAAGAAUGAAACUCAAAUGAAUUGGCGGGG
This 393-nucleotide ribosomal RNA is filed under the name uncultured bacterium. RNAcentral describes it as "partial 16S ribosomal RNA". It matches the Rfam family "Bacterial small subunit ribosomal RNA", at positions 523 to 918 of the family's 1533-position model. The record is from RNAcentral.